GUGUUCAGUUAAGUUCAGUUAGAGAGACCAACUGCCAUUUUUGCCUCAGGAUGUUGUUUUAGUUUCUCUCAGACAGUAUGUUAUUGUGUUUGACAUAUAUGUGAGCCGAAAGAAAGACAUAUAUGUGUGCUGAAAGAAAAAAAAAACUUCUGCAGAAGAAUGGUAGAAUAUCCUAAACUGUGUGAGUGAGGGGAUAUUCCCAGUCUGACAGGAGGAUUGAUUUUUUUAAUCGCUCCCCCCCCCCCACAACAGUUCCAUCAUCUUUUUUCUAGAAAAAUAGCACAGCUGAAAUCUAUUUCCUCAAUAGAGUUACGUAGGUCAAUCUUACUCGGAUAUCCCUAACUUUAUACAGUAAAGUGGUAUCUCGAACGUAAUUCAUUUCAGAAGACCAUUCAAUUUCCGAAACAUUUGAAAACCGAAGCAUGCAUUUCCAGAAGCAUUUACGUCUGGAAAACUCAAUACAGAAGCCGCGUGGCAUGUUCGGCUUCCGAAAAGUAUUUGAAAACCGAAGCAAUUACUUCUGGGUUUUCGGUGUUCGAAAGCCGAAAUGUUCGACUUCUGAGACAUUCAAAAACCGAGGUACCACUGUAUUCUGAUAAUUUCAUGUCCCGCUAACUUUGACCCACUGGGCCUUCUGUUUAAAGAUUGAAGUUUGUGUGUGCGCUUGUUUUCUUUCUUAAAGAGAAGCGAGAUGUAAUGGCCACAUGCACAGAACAUGUUUGUAACUUUAUUCUGUCAUAUAAUAAUGCAAAGGAAUCAUACUAUUACUUUCUUCACAAGAGGACAAACACACACACUCACACAAAGUUGUUUACAGAAGUGCCUUGUGGUGACUGGCAUUGGUAUCACUCGGUUCCAUGCUCUGCAACAAUCAGCCGGCCUCAUGGGAGAUGUGACCACAGCUUGGGACAUGGGACCGUUUGUUCACUCACUUUCUGUGAAAAGAGUUCUGAAAUGUGUUUUGAAUAGACAGCAUUUUCUUUGUGUAGUUAGUAAAUAACACAGGGCAAAGUUAGUCAGCAAGUUACAGAGCCUUCUGCAUUCUGAUUCUUUGGGGCCCUUUUGUACCAAGCUGGGCAGGAUGUUUUUCAUGGAAUGUGACCUUGCUGCAAAACCGGAGGUAAGGAGAAAAUGUUGGAGUAGUAAGCUAGGGAAUACUUUGUCAUACUGCUGACGGAAGAUCUUGUGAGAAGAUCUGAGUGACUUGACUCUUCAUGUAGCCACUCUACUGUACAUUACAGUGUCUUCUGAUGUGUUUGCUCAGCAUCUGGUGUGAAAACUUCUAAUGUGCCAGUAGGGGCCUGCUUUGGAUUUAAUUUUAUUUUGUCAGUGCAAAACAUGAGGGCUAAUGUGAAAAUACUUAUGUCUUUAAUUUAGAAAAUAGUAAGGAAAUGGGAUCCAUCUGCCUGCGUCAAUCUCAAAAUCCCUGGAACGGAAGGCAAAACUGUGCGCAAAUUAGUAAAUGACAGAGCCGGGGACCUUUUGGGCAACUGUACCGAAUCGCCAGGUAAAGGUAAGCUGGUAUAAAAUCAUAUAUCCCUGAAUUAUGUGGAAGAUCUCUGUCAUUCUUUCUUAUCAUGAGCUUAUCACUCCUUAUUCUCCCUUUGUUUUUACCCAUAAACCAUGGUCAGACUCCAGGUGAUCUAUCCACAGGUUCCCAUAAUUCUGCUCACAUUUCCAGAAACACUAAUUUGACUUAAAAAGGAAACUGGUCAUUCAUAUUGCACUCCUAUCCAUGUCUAUGCAGAAGUAAGCCCCACUAAGUUCUGUGGGACUUACUCCUAGGUAAGUGUUUAUAGAAUUGCAACCUAUAGAGCUUAGAAUCAUGCUUAGUUGCAUUGUUUGUGUUAUGUAAAGCAGAUACUUCUAAAACUACCCAACCCCCAUGGCAAUCAGUGAUGUGGCUCUUUAGGAAGAUAGGAGGAAAUGCAUCAUGGAACAGAAAUGAAUUCAAGAAAGUUUUUUUAAAAAACAACACACAACUACUUUAGCUCAUAAAAAUUGCUAAGCCACAAUACUUCUCAGGAGGAGACUUGUUGUAUACAGUGUAAUUGCUCCAGAAAUCAUGUGAUUGAUUAUGGCUAUUUACUAUGUUCCGUUCAGGAGAAAAUAUAGAAAUAGUUUUGCUGGUUUUUACUCAGGAGACGUGCUUCUUACGAUAAGCAAUAGAACCGCAUUUGUUGUUGCAAAACCAGUACUGAUUAAUAUUGGAUCCUGACUUUGCCUCCUGAGAAUAGAAAAGCUCCUUCUGUCUGUGGAAGGCUUCUGACUCAGUAGAAAAAUGGGGAAGACAUAACUUUCCAAACUCUUAGAAUAGGGAGGUGCAAGAUAACUUGCAUCAAUUUCCUUCCAUCUCCCUACAGCACCCUAUGUCCUUCAAUGUCUGAUCUGGGGAUUGGGAACCCCCUGCAACAAUGUGGUAUCAGGCAUGGGCAUUUGCCCACUAGUGAAAAUGACUUUUUAUUGGUGAGAAUGUCCCAAGUGGAACUGGUAGCAAAUUCUGGAUCCAAUCCAUUAUGUUUGCUUUCUGCUAGAAAAUGUGUUUAUUAUUGUUGUUACAUUAAGUGGAUACUUAGCAAUGAAAAAUAGUAGGCUAUAUAUUAUACAGUAACUGUAGGUCUAGUGCCAUAUUGUGAUAAAUAAUUAUAUAUAUACAGUGGUACCUCGCAAGACGAAUGCCUCGCAAGACGGAAAACUCGCAAAAUGAAAGGGUUUUUGGUUUUUUGAGUUGCUUCACAAGACGAUUUUCCCUAUGGGCUUGCUUCGCAAGGCGGAAACGUCUUGCAAGUUUGUUUCCUUUUUCUUAAAACCGUUAAUACAGUUGCGACUUGACUUCGAGGAGCAACUCAUAGCACGCGGUGUGGUAGCCUUUUUUGAUGUUUUUGAAGACUUUGGUGAUUUUUGAAGCUUUUCCAAAACUUUUCCGACACCGUGCUUCGCAAGACGAAAAAAACCGCAAGACGAAAAAACUCGCGGAACGAAUUAAUUUCGUCUUGCAAGGCACCACUGUAUAUGAAACUUCUCUGUGGGGACUUGUAUUUCAAACACAUGCAAGUAUUUUUUCUGUCUUAGAGUUUUCCCAUUAAUUAAAAGUUGCAUUAAUUUGUUGGAGUUUAUUGAUAUUAUGCAACGAGGGAAUAACUCUACUAUAUGUUAAGACAGUAAAGUUAAUAGUUUGCAUUCAGUCACUUACAACAAAUAAGCCACUAGAGGUCAGUGCAGAGUGCUGGAACUGAGCUUCUACCUACGCUGAAUACUUUAACCAGCCUUACUAAAACUGAAUGUUUCUUUAUGCCAGUAUUAAUGGUAAAACCUUAGAAUACCAUACUCAUGUUAGAACAGAUUAGUAUGAAUAAAGCAAUGCUUUGUAGGACAGACUUGGAAUUAAAAUUCCAUUAACAACUAUAUUGUAUGUUUCAAAAGGGGCAGCACCAAACAAAAGAAAGCGUAUGUGAGAGAGUGAGUGAGUGAGUGAGUGAGUGUUUGUGUGCGCGCGUGUCAAAAUUGUACUAUGUAAAGCAAAAUACACAAAAUGUUUUUGUGGAACCCUUCCUCAGAUGCACAGAAAUUCAGUUUAUUGCUUCUUAAAGGAAAUAUCUUUCAAAGCAUAAGGUAUCAUUUUACCAUUUUAUUAUAUUGUUCUUCGUAUCCAUUUGGUAGCAUUUUUAAAGAAACUUUCUCACAAUGAAUGUCCAUCAUGACUUGGGAAUGGAAGGGAGGUGGGGAGGCCGUGCUCCACUAGGUUGUGUGGUCCAGUACAUCAAAGUUUCCCAGCCCCAACUAUUUCCUAGACUGCCCUGUGGCAUCUACAGUAGUGGCUGGUGACCAUUGGGGCUGUUUGGGCAGAAGGCAGAGGUGAGAUGGGUAUCUGAACAAUGAUCUGCUGGGCAAGGUCUCCCUCUACCCAUCCAUCAGUUCUGAAUGUGUGUGUGUGGACUGAAAACUGUGCUAGGUCAUAUCACUAUGUGGUGGCCUGGCAGGGCACAGCUUCCACUGCUUCCCAUAUUGGCCUAGAGAAGCACCUCAGAAGGUGAGUAGCAAAGCCAAGGACAUGUUGGUGGAGAGGGAGAAUGGUCUAAUAUGCUGGUAGAGUGGAAGGAGCUGGAUCACGCAGAGAGGAGGGUUGUGUGUGCGUGCACUGAUUUAUGGGGUGGGAGGAGAGGGAAAGGAGCAGGGCAUUAUAAUGGCGUAUGAGUUUUAUUAAUAGAUUUAUAUCCUGCCUUUCAGGACAAGUGUCCUCACAUGGCGGUAUAAAAGGAGUUGUAAAAUAUAUAAAAACAAUUUAAUGAGUAAUUAAAUAUGCCUUGCCUGGCAGAGUUAAAUAUGUUUAAUUCCUCCUUGAUAUAUGUGCUGUGACCUAGACUCAAUGCUGGUCUUAAAUAUGUUUAGAUUAGUAAUACCAAAAUGGCUUCCCUCCAGUGAGAUGGAGGCUGGAAGCAACAGAAUAGUCUGAUUUUGGAAUCUGCUGCUUGAAUCAAUAGUUUUAUAUGGCUUCAUGGAUAUAUAUCAGGGUAACUUACUACAGCUCUUCCACCACGCCUUAUCCCCUUAACCCAAAACCCUCAACCAGGUAUAACGCUUAAACUUUGUUCUUAACAUCUUAUGAUUCAACCUUAGUUCUGUUCUUGGUUGCAAGUUAUAAUUCGAGGUUCUGAUCUCAUAUUACCCAUUUUUCAUUGUAAAAAAAAACUGAAUUCAGAUCCUGAUGCUAUGUACUAGUGGCAAGCCUGAACCAAUCUUUCCCUAAUAUAUGCAGGUUCCCAUUUCUUCCCACUACACACCAGUCUUGGCCUGUGAUACUUGGGCUGCCCCCUUGCUGACCAGUCCCUUUCAGAGAGUCAUAAACAAUUUUGAACAUUAAUUAUAUGUGAUUCCAUAAUUUGUCGUGGACACUUCUGAUUUUUCCUGUCCAUUAUUGUAAGUCAAAGGUAGAAGCAGGAUAUCAAACAGCCUCCUGUGGAACAUGAAAGGUGUCCUCAAGAGAUGCUGUCUGUUAAAAAGUUUUAAAAAGAUAUGAAUGUCACAUAAUUCAUGAGACUAGUGCUGCAAUCAUCCUGACAUGGAGCUAUAGUUUUUAAAUCAGCUUUCCCCCAACCUGCUGUUUUGGACUACAACUUCCAUCAUGCCUGACCAUUGGAGAUUUUGGUUAGAGCUGAAGGAAACAGGCAUGCAAAACAUUUGGAAGGUACCUCGUUGUGGAAAAAUGGUAAAUGUAACUGUAUAAAGCUAUCUGGGCUUCCUGGUUUAGUAAUUAUUUAUAGUGACUGGAAACAAUUCUUCAGGGUUUCAGGCAGGAAUCUCUUCCAGCCUUACCCAGAGAUGCCUGAGGCCAUCUGCAUGCAAAACUUGUGUUCUUACCACUGAGCUGUAGUCCCUUCCCUUGUGUCAUCACUCAGUAGGGACUGACUGUAGGGUGGAAUCUACACACAUAUAAAAAAUGUUCUGAAAAUGCUUUUUAAAAAAGCUUUUUAAAAAAUACAUUGAAUUUUCCACAAGGCUCACCAUUGCCAUCUAGUGUCACAUUGUAUAUUGCACUUAAAACACACCUAAAACAUUUUAUUUGCAGCUGUGUAGCUGAGGAGGUUAGGUCCAAGAAUCUGCAAGAGCUUAGAUAAUGUAAGGUGCAAGCUAUGGAUUUGCGGCUACAUUUCACUGGUCAAUAGCUUCUGAAAAAUGGUAUCUGGGGCAACUGUCUUUGAGGGCAGCAUGUAUUUUGACUAUUACCUGCUGAAGAUUAUCAGAUUACUCUAACAUGUUGCACAUUGUUCCAGUGCAUUUGGGUAGAAGAAUAUUGAACAUUUGUUUCCUAUUGCAGGAUGGGCAAUCGCCCACCCUGAGCUGUUGUCUCUCUUCACCUGUCACAGGUUUGCCUCUUGAUUAAUGAUUCACAGAUCCUGAAGUAGAAAAAACUGGGAGCAAGUGGCUUCCCUCUUUACAUUUCUGCCUUUUGCUCUUGCCCUAGAAUGCAAUAGGCCAACUAUUUGUGUUGCUUCAAUGAAUUUUGUUUACAAGCCAAAUUACAUAAACAUCUGGUCUCUUCUAUAACAUAUGGAGCAUCAAAAGCCUUAACAUUUGCAGAUAAAAAUAAUAGGCGGACUUCAGCCAAAUACUAUAUUUUAGAGACCCGUCAUUCUCACUGUUCUGUUGGCACAACACCAGAAGGUUGAGGGCCUGGGACGCAGUCAGCCUAGACUUUAUUCUGAAGUUGGAGUCCAGUGAUUGUAUCCACAUUCCCUAGGUUUUUGGUGCCCCUUAAAAGUGAGGAGGGGAACAGCCACUUUUUUGACAGAUAUUCCACUAUGAAUAGGCCUAUAAGAUACAAUUUCAAAUACCUGUCACCAUUUACACCCAUUUCCAGGCCCAGAAAUGUCAUAAGUGGAGAUGCUGCCAUUGUCCUGGUUGAACUUGGUUGAAGUUCAUUGUCCUAUGAACUUGUCUCACCCACAAUGCAGGGCUGAUGACUGAAGGCUUUCUUCUUCUUUUGACUGAACUGAAGGACAAGUCAACACAUCCUCCACCCCACCACCAUUCCAUGUACAAAAGCUGCUUAAACUGGCAGCUGACUCUUCAACAUGAGCAACAGAACAUUAUCCUCCACUGCACCUGAAGGCUAGUUUAGGAGAUGUAGAGAAGGUGAAUGACAUACAGAGAUCUGUUCUCCAACACUUGUUUGCAGUACUCACUCUGUCUAAUGACUGAGCCAGCCCUGAUUAUGACUUGAGUGCCAUUUCGCCAAGAAGUUAUUCUCCACCUUACAGUGGGAAGUGAGGUUCUGCAGGUAUGUGGCCAAUGUUCAGGUUGACCAUGCUCCUUUGUAAAACCUCUACACAAAUAUCCUUUCAUUUUAUAGCCUUACACUCAAUGAAGUUCUGAUUGAUUGCUAUGAACUCUAAGAUCUGAGCAAGUUGUCUUCAAGGGUAUUUUCCCUCUAUUCCAAUCAGUUAUUCCACAGUUUGCUGAAAAUGUUUUAUGCAUUUGUUGUCCUGUUUCAGACUUAAAACUCACUCUUGUUCCCAUGUGUGUUUUCAAGCAGUUCUCAGGUAAGGCUGGUCCUAGGAAUAACAAAUCCUGUGGCAAGUGGUGGGGUGGGCAAUACAAUAAGGUCCAUGUGUGUAUCAGUGUUUUGAACUGGGAGACAGCUCUCUGAAACUGAUGAGCUUUUCUUUAAUAAUAAUAAUAAUAAUAUUUUAUUUAUACCCCGCCCUUCCCAAUUCAAAAACCAGGCUCAGGGCGGCUAACAACAAAUUUAAAACACUUUAAAAUACUUAAUUAUAAAAGCAGCAUAAAAUACAGUAUAAAAACAUGAAUAACAAUAAAAAUCAAAAAUCAAUUAGAUAAUCCCGCAUUAAUGAGUGCACACUGAGAAAACUUCUAAAAGUAUUAAUAAAGUCAAGGAGAAUCUAGUUAUCUCUGGUUCUCAGCUGGGAACGCUUUGAUGUAUUGAGGUUCAAGAGUCCUACCCACAAAGCAGCACUUAAAAAUUGUACAAAACAGUUGCUUAGCCUGUUUGCUCAUCACACUUGUCCAAUGCUAUAUACUGUGCUGUAUCAGCAGGGAACCAAUAGCACAUGGUCCUCCACCAUCUUGUAUUGAACCAUUGGACUACACAUAAAAAUUAAAUGAAUUCCUUAUUUUGGGAGACUCUGCAGAUGCUAUUGUCUAUGGAGCUAAUACUGUAUAACAUGGAGCUGAAAAUCAUGCUCAUUACCCUGUGAAUGUUUUCCCACUAUUUUUCACUUCAGCUUUACAGUAACAUGUCUUUCAGUUUAAUAGUCAGUAGGUUUACCUUCAAAAACCUAUAUGACUUUUUAAUAAUAAAAACCUAACUAGUCAUUUGAAUUAUUCUCAUUUAUGCUUGAGCAGGUGGCAUCUGCACCUGCUUGAAAGCAUUUCAAAAAUUCAGAGGCUGAAUCUUGGCGCCAAAGUCUUCAACCCAAAGGUAUUCAUUUUCCAUUUGAAAAUCAUACUGUAAUGUACAUAAGAUAGUCAAGGCUGCAGUUAGAGGAGUUGGUCCAGCUGUCUGAUUUAUGAGGCUCACUCCUGCAUACUCUACCCUGGAAAAUCAACUCUCACAUUUGCAUUGCAACAAGAGAGGUUUUCUAAGACACAGUAUGUGGUGAAGAGCACUACAUAUUGGCAGGCAAAAUUGAUCCUUUGCAAGUCAAGAGCUACAGAAUGGCUUAAUUUCCAAAGCAGUACCUAUGGGCCUUUGGACUAAGGACCAUAUGUGCUAUGGGAGCUGGUGGAUUUGUAUGCUUAAAUCGGAAUUGUACUUCUGAAACAGAGGCCAAGAGCUCUCUCUGUAACAUUAAUUCCCAAAGGGUUUAGAUUGCAGGAGUCUUGCGGGUUACUUGCCAGGCUGUCAGGCUUAUAAAUUUGUAACAUUUAAACUGGGAUUAUUUCUGAUACUUGAUUUAACUUGGAUUUAUGAAGAGAGCAUAGGAUCAAGAGGCUUAAGAUCCAGUGUGCUCUAGUGGAUAGUUAAAUUUGGAUCAGAGUUCAAAUCACCAAGCUCGCUGAAUGGCUUGACCAAAACUAUCUUUCAGCUUCAGGUCCCCAUAAAGCUCCAGAAGAGAAUUAACCAUGCAUUCCUGGAACAGGCCCAGGCCCAGGAACUCAUCUCUGCCAGCAGAAAUGGCUUCGUUUCUUUAAAAAGAGGGUGGAACUAAAACAAGAAAUAGUUUGUGUUUGUAUUGUGUACAACAUCUGCACUCUUUGGCAUUCCCCUAAAAGUUCUGGAACAUUUUUGUAGGGCCAGUAUUGGGAAAGCUGUCAGAUCUUGAGGGACAUGCUUAAUGGAAGCUGCCUGUUUUCAGGAAGAGGGUGUCCUCAAUGCUCCCCCAAAAUGUUGUUUUCAUCCAAAGUUGGCAUUGUCUGAAGGGCAAUUUUCAGUGUGAUGAAGAACUCCUACCCACUCAAAUUCAGCUGUGUCAUGUUUAAAUAGUGAAGAUUAUUAUAUAGAUGCAUAUAAGAAUUGAUAAACUGGAUCUCUGAAAAAUGCAGACACGUCCUGUGUGUGUCAUUACAGCAUUUUCAUAUGUCUAGGUAAGGGGUCACUGAAAUUCUUGCUAUUUCAAGGGAGGAAUUAAUUAGCAUCACCAGCACGAUCCAGUUAGGUGCUGCAUGUGCAUUGGAAGCAAGCUACCAUAUGCACACACUUUUCAAAAUGGAGAUUUGGGCACAUAUGCAAGCACUGUGCUGGUCUGACCUGUCCUCAGCAGGAACGCACAGCAAGGCAACAGGGUCUUGUGACCUUAUAUAGUUCCAGGUGAUCAACUUGGUUUCAGAAAAAGCUGCAGGUAAACUGAAGCCUCAUGCCCAGAUUACUUACCAUAAGCUGCCCUGCCACAUCACUGAGGAGUGUGACUUCUUAAAGGGACAGCCUUCUGGCCUGAAGGAGAGCACUUCUUUUCCCUGUGGCUUAUCUAGUGUGCUCCUUACACCACUGGGCAGGCAUUUUGGAGCAGGAAACACUUGGCUCCCCAGGUGAACCAGGCUCAAGGGAAGAAGUUUGUGAGAGUUCUGGUUUGGAGUCCAUAGGUCCAUGGCCAUCAGCCUCAAUUUCAGAACUGGGUACCUGGUUUUGUUCAUCCAACAAUGUAGUAGCCCCAGAUGUUGCUACUUAUCUUCCUCCACCUCUGAACAUUGGCUGUUGCUUGAGUCAGGAUCUUGACAUGUGCCUGUGAUUCCCCAACCUGGUCUAGCCACUGUUGCUUUGUAAGUAUAGUCCACUGAGAAAACUUAGAGUCAUGCUGCACACCUGUUCAGGGGAGGAUCAAGAGGCUGAAUUAACCAACUGGGUCUUUGCCAGAUAGCUUAUUGGCAGAAUUAUAUCUUCUUUUACUGGACUCUGAAUGUGCAGCCUUGGCCACCGCAAUGCACUUUGUUGAAUCAUUGCCUAGAAAUAGGAUCUAGCUGUGUAAGACUGCAGUGUCAGAAACCAGUGUUGUAUAUCUUAAGCUUGAAAAUGUACAAUGAACAGUUAUAGUUUCAGUAAUCUGCGUGAAUUGGGGUUAACACAACAAAAGAACGUGUACACUUAUUUAAUUGAACUUCCUGUACAAGUAUGUAUUUUUUAAAAAAAUUAUAACUCGCAAAUUCCCAUUCCUUUGUCUGCAGCUCAUUUCAGUGUUCCUUCCUUCCAAUAGUACCAUAAAGAGAAUUUGUGCAUACAUAUUUGUAGUUGUGUCAUGUCAAUCCCAUCUCCAGAUAUGAAAACAAGAUGUCCUAUUGAAGCUCUGCUCAUUUUGUUAAAUUGCUGUGUGCUACCCCUCUCAAAUAGCUAAAUCAUCUCUGUAUGGUGGGAGGAAAUGAAGCAUGUAUUAUAUUACUUAAACAGGAAAAGAAAACUGUCGUGGCUAUCAUGAACAAAUAAACGUUUAAUUACAGGGGAAAGAGGUUGGGGUGGAAUCAAUGCUUUUGUGUUGAUUUUUUACCCUUUUCCUAAACUGUAUGGGCAUAAUUUUGUAGUUCUAUCUGCACCUGUGGCCUUUGGACCUAAUGUUUAUGACAGAUGGACUGGACUAUAUUAGAAGAAUUUAUUGCAGAAUCCUUCUGUAGAUAUCUGUGCCAUGAUAGACAUUGGAUGUGGUGCAUGGGUGUAUUUAUUAGUGCAGUCUUCCUCUCCACUUUAUGUGUUUCCUUUGAGUCUGAUGGGGUUUGCUAUGUAUGGGUACAGUACAAUGGUAUAAACUCAUUUUUCUCU
Podarcis lilfordi (Lilford's wall lizard) is the source of this 10705-nucleotide non-coding RNA. Lineage: Eukaryota; Metazoa; Chordata; Lepidosauria; Squamata; Lacertidae. The record is from the annotation of a GenBank genome assembly.